This is an RNA transcript of Callithrix jacchus (white-tufted-ear marmoset), 4215 nucleotides long. It is a transcript of the gene named trans-golgi network vesicle protein 23 homolog A, with no coding region annotated. NCBI's taxonomy places the organism in Eukaryota, Metazoa, Chordata, Mammalia, Primates, Cebidae. The record is from RefSeq and is a predicted model, not a curated record.
UGAACCCAGGUGUUGAAGACCAGCCUGGGCAACGUAAUGAGACCCUCCUCUCCACAAAAAAACAAAAAAUUAGCCAGGUGUGGUGGUGCAGCCUGUGGUCCCAGCUAUUUGGGAGGCUGAGACCGGAGGAUUGCUUGAGCCCAGGAGCUUGAGGCCAUAGUGAGCUAUGAUGGCACCUCUGCCCUCCAGCCUGGCUGGCAGAGAGAGGCCCUGUUUCUGGGUGUGUGUGUGUGUGAGGGGGAAGGCAGAUUCUAUGGCCCCACUCCAGGCCUUCCACAUCCCCUGGGCCGGGACUGAGAAUCUGCUUUUCACAAGGGUCCUAGGAAUAUCAUUUCGCGCGGAGACUGUUGGGAAACACCGACAGCCUUGAAUGCCGCUGCCCACCACGGACAGUCAUUCAUUGCCUUAUCGAUCAUUCCAUCCACGUCCCUGCUCCGUGCACACCUUGCGCCGACGCACCUCCUCGCUCCUCCCAUUCCUCCCAGUAUCUCCGUCAGCUGUUCCUGACGCCGCUUUCUGGCCGGGGCGAGUCCUCACUGGGCCGAGCCCCGUCCCCAGCCCGCGACUGCGCCCUGGGCCCCGAGCGUCCCGCCCCUCCCCCACCACGGAGCCGCAGGCCGGGACCCUCCGCGUCCACCGCCAGCUGCCCGCAGCCGCCCACCCGGCAUCCGAGCCUUUCGGCGGCGACGGGCGGAGCUGGAGCCUCGGGCCUGGGCGCCAGGUGGGCUCCUGGGACGGUGAUGAAACAGGCCCUGGUGGACGAUACGGAAGAUGUGUCCCUGGACUUUGGGAACGAGGAGGAGCUGGCCUUUAGGAAAGCCAAGAUCAGACACCCCUUGGCCACCUUUUUCCACCUGUUUUUCCGAGUGAGUGCCAUCAUCACCUACGUGUGCUGCGACUGGUUCAGCAAGAGCUUUGUGGGCUGUUUUGUCACGGUGCUGCUCCUCCUGUCCCUGGACUUCUGGUCUGUGAAGAAUGUGACCGGAAGACUCCUGGUAGGCCUGCGAUGGUGGAACCAGAUAGAUGAAGACGGGAAGAGCCACUGGAUCUUUGAAGCCAGGAAGGUCUCUCCGAAUAACAUCGCUGCCACAGAAGCGGAAGCACGAAUCUUCUGGCUGGGCCUCAUAAUCUGCCCCAUGAUAUGGAUUGUAUUUUUUUUUAGCACCUUAUUUUCCUUGAAGCUGAAGUGGCUGGCUCUGGUGGUUGCUGGGAUCUCUCUCCAAGCUGCAAACCUGUAUGGCUACAUCCUUUGUAAGAUGGGAGGCAACAGUGACAUCAGCAAGGUCACAGCCAGUUUCCUGUCCCAGACGGUGUUCCAGACGGCCUGCCCAGAGGACUUCCAGAAGCCUGGCCUUGAGGGGCUGGAGAUUCACUAGCAUUAGUAGAGACGGGUUUCACCAUGUUUCCAAGGCUGGUCUUGAACUUCCAGCUCUUCUUUCAACACUGGAAAAUGUGGCAAUUGUGAUGACCACAAGGACACUCCUCCUGGAUCUCUGACAGCAGCUGCCAUGCUCCAAAACCCAUCACCAUGUUUGUGUCAAGGCAAUGCCACACUCAGGCUGCUCCUUGCUAGUGACUGAGCCGAGCAUGGCACUCAGUCAGGCACGUUCCUAGGAGAUGCAGCCCCUCUGAUGGAUACUUCCCCUGACAAAUGUCCUGUCCAUCAAUCCCAUCUCGGCAGAGCUGACCUGUGGCAGAGGUACAAGCUGGCAGGAAUGUCUGUGCCCCCGGCUGCUGCAAGCUCCCCGCCGGCCCCAGUCACGUCCAUUCAUGUGGCCUGCCUGCCUCCAGGGACCUUUGAGGGCAGCUCUUAGCACCACUCUGGUCACUGCAAAAGCUGCCUGGUGAGUGUUUUAUAAUGCUGGGGAAGGCUGAGAAAGCAGCUGUACUUUUGUACAUUUUGUCGGGGAAAUCAUGCCAGAGAAGCAUUUAGGGAUGUGGGAAGAAGGGAAGAAGGAUUUUGGGACCCAGCCUCCCGGGGUCCCUGGGGUUCUCCAGGGCCGUUCCCAACCGCCAAGUGGCCCUCGCACCCCUUCACCACUUCCUCAACGGCAGCCGCCCCCAGCACUGUCCUGGCUCUCGCUUUCUGUGCAGCCCCUUGGCAGUCCUGUCUGUGCCUUGUGGCUUCAACACUCGCCUGCAUGGACACAAACCACCUUCUCCUGACUGACCCCAGAGCCUGCUGACAACCUGAGCCCCCUCACCUCUCAGCUGCAGCACCCCAGAGGGCCCGGCCUCGCCCCUGCUUCACUGUCUCUGAAGGACGGACCCUCCUCCAGGUGGCUUGUACUGGCAGUGGGGACAACUUGGACCAUCAGAUCCUGUCACUUUCUCUCUUGUGUGUCCCCUCCUUUCUAUACCAACGCCAGAACCCAGUGACACAUUCUGAACUCUGACCCCAGGGCAGCCACCCUUGGGCCUCCUGAUCCCGGGCACAGGACACUGACACUCAGUGAUAAUGACACUUAGCCGUUUCCCACAGGCUCCCAUUCUCCCCUUGAGCUCCCCAUGCGGGCCUGGCCCUCCCCCAGGGCACCCCAGGUGGCCUCCGCUCUCCCCGCCUCCAGGCUCCCACCCUCCAACCCUCCCCACAAAUACUUGGCCCCAACCCUCCCCCCAGACCAUUCUGGGAAUGUGGCCCCUGCUCACAGGUCAGUGAUCUGUGUCCCCUGGAGCUGCCCCUCUACUGAGCGCCCUUGUCAGUCCCCUGCCACCACUGCCCUCACCAACUUCUAACCCGUUCUUACAGGCCUCGAUCUUAUCUGCCUGAGGCCUGCUUGCUCCCGCUGCUUUUCUCCCAGAGGCCUCUGGGGGUGCCAGAUGGAGGAUGGGUCUGGCUCCAGUACCCCACUGACCUUCUUCCUUCCAUUGCCCCUAUCCGUAGCUACCCACUGUCAUGCCCAACCCAUGACUGUGGGACUGACCGAGGAGUGAGGUUCCGCCCCAUGCCGGGGUCACCCACCUAUGAGUGGAUCCAGGGGCACUCUGCCGAGGAGAGGGACCUCCAGGUCCUUGCACAUGAGCUCCGCGCCCCCGGUCGUGGGAGGGAAUAUCUGAGAUUCUUUCUGCAAGGCAAAUUCAAAGGGGAGGAAACAUGAUUUUCUUGCAGAAUCACAAGGAUGGACCACAUUUUUUUUUUUCUGAGAUAGAGUCACACUCUGUCACCCAGGCUGGAGUGCAAUGGGGCAAUCCUGGCUCACUGCAACGUCCACCUCUCCAGUUCCAACGAUUCUCCUGCCUCAGCCUCCUGAACAGCUGGGAUUACAGGCACCCACCACCAUGCCUGGCUAAUUUUUUUGUAUUUUUGUAGAGAUGGGGUUUCACCAUGUUGGCCAGCCUGGUCUCAAACUUUUGACCUCAGGUGAUGCACCCACCUCGGCCCCCCGAAGUGCUGGGAUUAUAGGCAUGAGCCACCGCACCCGGCCUGGAUGGACUACAUUUUAAAGAAACUUACACACACACAAAAGCUUAGUUUGAAUGUGAAACACUUAACACCAAAAGAACUUUCCUUGAGUCAGCAGAAAGGGAUUUUAAUUGUGAGUCCACUUCCCAAAAUGCCGGGGAAAGCAGAAACCAUGUGCAGAGCACCCUUCUGACUGACUGCUCAACCGUGAAAGCAGCAGCAUCUUCAGAUCGCCUGGCGGCCCCAUGGGCCCUCACCUUGCACUUAGGACAGAGGAAGCCACUCAUGUUCUCCACCACCCCGAUGAUGGGCAGCUUCACCUUGCGGCAGAAGCUGAUUUCUUUCCGGACAUCCUGGAGGGACACCUCCUACGAAGGUGAAGAGAUCAGUGAUUCCAGCAUCAAAGUGCGAGAAAGGGAAUGUCUGUGCACCUGAGGGGGUGGCUGCAAUGCAGUGGAUCUGCUGUCGUGAGCCUUAGAGGUUUCUGCCCUGGUAUGGUUUGAUUCUGUGUCCCCAUCCAAAUCUCAUCACGAAUUGUAAUCCCCACAAUCCCUACGUGUUGAGGGCAGUACCAGGUGGGAGGUGACUGGAUCAUGGGGGCGGUUCCCCCAUGCUGUUUUGUGAUGGUGAGUCUUCACAAGAUCUGAUGGGUUUUAUAAAUGUUUCACAGUUCCUCCUACACACAGUCUCUCUCACUGCUGCUACUGUGUAUCAUGUGCCUGCUUCGCCUUCUUCCAUGACUGUAAGUUUCCUGAGGCCUUCCCAGCCAUGUGGAACUGUGAGUCAAUUAAACCUCUUUCCUUUAUAAAUUA